AUUGAACGCUGGCGGCAGGCCUAACACAUGCAAGUCGAGCGGGGUUUUCGGACCUAGCGGCGGACGGGUGAGUAAUGCGUAGGAAGCUACCCGACAGAGGGGGAUACCAGUUGGAACGACUGUUAAUACCGCAUAAUGUCUACGGACCAAAGUGUGGGACCUUCGGGCCACAUGCUGUCGGAUGCGCCUACGUGGGAUUAGCUAGUUGGUGAGGUAAUGGCUCACCAAGGCGACGAUCCCUAGCUGGUUUGAGAGGAUGAUCAGCCACACUGGAACUGAGACACGGUCCAGACUCCUACGGGAGGCAGCAGUGGGGAAUAUUGGACAAUGGGCGCAAGCCUGAUCCAGCCAUGCCGCGUGUGUGAAGAAGGCCUCGGUUGUAAGCACUUCUAG
RNAcentral lists this ribosomal RNA (393 nucleotides) under uncultured bacterium. Its description in RNAcentral is "bacterial SSU rRNA". It matches the Rfam family "Bacterial small subunit ribosomal RNA", at positions 30 to 439 of the family's 1533-position model. The record is from RNAcentral.